AUAGGACCCUGCCUCACUGUAAGGUGUCAUGAUGGUGUCCCGCAGUCAAGAUAAGGCCCUGCCUCACCGUAAGGUGUAAUGAUGGUGUCCCACAGUCAAGAUAAGACCCUGCCUCACCAUAAGGUGUAAUGAUGGUGUCCCGCAGUCAAGAUAAGACCCUGCCUCACCAUAAGGUGUAAUGAUGGUGUCCCACAGUCAAGAUAAGAUCCUGCCUCACCCUAAGGUGUAAUGAUGGUGUGCUGCAGUCAAGAUAAGGCCCUGCCU
This 264-nucleotide long non-coding RNA is filed under the name Haliotis rubra (blacklip abalone). RNAcentral's name for it is "uncharacterized LOC124271891, transcript variant X3". Lineage: Eukaryota; Metazoa; Mollusca; Gastropoda; Lepetellida; Haliotidae. The record is from RNAcentral.